RNAcentral lists this ribosomal RNA (522 nucleotides) under Parafannyhessea umbonata. RNAcentral describes it as "bacterial SSU rRNA". It matches the Rfam family "Bacterial small subunit ribosomal RNA", at positions 281 to 801 of the family's 1533-position model. The record is from RNAcentral. Lineage: Bacteria; Bacillati; Actinomycetota; Coriobacteriia; Coriobacteriales; Atopobiaceae.
GGGUAGGGGUCCUGAGAGGGAGAUCCCCCACACUGGUACUGAGACACGGACCAGACUCCUACGGGAGGCAGCAGUGAGGAAUAUUGGACAAUGGGCGCAAGCCUGAUCCAGCCAUGCCGCGUGCAGGAUGACGGUCCUAUGGAUUGUAAACUGCUUUUGUACAGGAAGAAACAGUUCUACGUGUAGAACCUUGACGGUACUGUAAGAAUAAGGAUCGGCUAACUCCGUGCCAGCAGCCGCGGUAAUACGGAGGAUCCAAGCGUUAUCCGGAAUCAUUGGGUUUAAAGGGUCCGUAGGCGGUUUAAUAAGUCAGUGGUGAAAGCCCAUCGCUCAACGGUGGAACGGCCAUUGAUACUGUUAAACUUGAAUUAUUAGGAAGUAACUAGAAUAUGUAGUGUAGCGGUGAAAUGCUUAGAGAUUACAUGGAAUACCAAUUGCGAAGGCAGGUUACUACAAUUGAUUGACGCUGAUGGACGAAAGCGUGGGUAGCGAACAGGAUUAGAUACCCUGGUAGUCCACGCC